Molecule: ribosomal RNA, 495 nt
Filed under: uncultured bacterium
Lineage: Bacteria
Description: partial 16S ribosomal RNA
Rfam family: Bacterial small subunit ribosomal RNA
Source: RNAcentral
GACGAACGCUGGCGGCGUGCCUAAUACAUGCAAGUAGAACGCUGAAGGAGGAGCUUGCUUCUCUGGAUGAGUUGCGAACGGGUGAGUAACGCGUAGGUAACCUGCCUGGUAGCGGGGGAUAACUAUUGGAAACGAUAGCUAAUACCGCAUAACAGUAGAUAUCGCAUGAUAUCUACUUGAAAGGUGCAAUUGCAUCACUACCAGAUGGACCUGUGUUGUAUUAGCUAGUUGGUGAGGUAACGGCUCACCAAGGCGACGAUACAUAGCCGACCUGAGAGGGUGAUCGGCCACACUGGGACUGAGACACGGCCCAGACUCCUACGGGAGGCAGCAGUAGGGAAUCUUCGGCAAUGGACGGAAGUCUGACCGAGCAACGCCGCGUGAGUGAAGAAGGGUUUCGGAUCGUAAAGCUCUGUUGUAAGAGAAGAACGAGUGUGAGAGUGGAAAGUUCACACUGUGACGGUAUCUUACCAGAAAGGGACGGCUAACUACGUG